GGCCUAAUGGUCUAGAAGUAUGAUUCUUCCUUCGGGUGGAAGAGGUCCUGGGUUCAAUUCCCAGUUAGGCCC
This 72-nucleotide transfer RNA is filed under the name Sphaerobolus stellatus SS14. RNAcentral describes it as "tRNA-Pro (CGG) (tRNA-Pro-CGG-1-1, tRNA-Pro-CGG-1-2)". It matches the Rfam family "tRNA". Rfam says of the family: Transfer RNA (tRNA) molecules are approximately 80 nucleotides in length. Their secondary structure includes four short double-helical elements and three loops (D, anti-codon, and T loops). Further hydrogen bonds mediate the characteristic L-shaped molecular structure. tRNAs have two regions of fundamental functional importance: the anti-codon, which is responsible for specific mRNA codon recognition, and the 3' end, to which the tRNAs corresponding amino acid is attached (by aminoacyl-tRNA synthetases). tRNAs cope with the degeneracy of the genetic code in two manners: having more than one tRNA (with a specific anti-codon) for a particular amino acid; and 'wobble' base-pairing, i.e. permitting non-standard base-pairing at the 3rd anti-codon position. The record is from RNAcentral. Lineage: Eukaryota; Fungi; Basidiomycota; Agaricomycetes; Geastrales; Sphaerobolaceae.